GGGUGAGUAAUGCCUGGGAAUAUGCCUUGAUGUGGGGGAUAACUAUUGGAAACGAUAGCUAAUACCGCAUAAUGUCUUCGGACCAAAGAGGGGGAUCUUCGGACCUCUCGCGUCAAGAUUAGCCCAGGUGAGAUUAGCUAGUUGGUGGGGUAAGAGCUCACCAAGGCGACGAUCUCUAGCUGGUCUGAGAGGAUGAUCAGCCACACUGGAACUGAGACACGGUCCAGACUCC
Molecule: ribosomal RNA, 232 nt
Filed under: uncultured bacterium
Lineage: Bacteria
Description: partial 16S ribosomal RNA
Rfam family: Bacterial small subunit ribosomal RNA
Source: RNAcentral